This 69-nucleotide transfer RNA is filed under the name Metavelifer multiradiatus. RNAcentral describes it as "tRNA-His". It matches the Rfam family "tRNA". Rfam says of the family: Transfer RNA (tRNA) molecules are approximately 80 nucleotides in length. Their secondary structure includes four short double-helical elements and three loops (D, anti-codon, and T loops). The record is from RNAcentral. Lineage: Eukaryota; Metazoa; Chordata; Actinopteri; Lampriformes; Veliferidae.
GUAGGUAUAGUUUAACAAAAACGCUGGAUUGUGAUUCCAGAGAUGAAGGUUAGACCCCCUUUGCCUACC